CCUUACUCCAGUCAAUGCUCCAAUGUGUCACACUGGUUGUCAGAACGAUUUUCCUUCGGGCUUGCAGCAUGGAAACCGAGACCGGGACGUGGAUUAAAAUACACAGAGACUGAGACAGGAAGUCUAGCAGUGCAGAGACUGAGACACAGACUGGCAUAGAGAGACUGCAAUACACACUGACAUACAGGGAUCGAUAGACAAAAGCCUGUUACACACACAGAUUGGCGCAGAGAGCGGAGCCUGACACACAGAGAACCUGUAGAGUUUGUUUUUUGGGUGGGUGCGAUCGCUUCUGCUGCUGCUGGUGGUUUUGCAGAUAAAACACAAAUCUCCCGGAUUCAACAGUUUCUGGAAUCGAACGAGCAGGAAUGAACAGGACGGGGGAUAGACUGGUGGAAAUCCUUCAGAUGACAAUUAACUUGGUGCGCUGAAGCGAUGCUUUCUCAUCCUGAGCGAGGCGGUGUCCUCGCCCCACACAGUGUUGCCAUCUGGCGAUUCCUGAAUGUGUUUGUCAUCAAAACUUACUGAUGAAGUACAAAGGUGAUUAAGGUCACUCCAGCUUCCACCCGGGUCACAGACCGGACUGGUCAAGGCUGUCGCUGUGUGCAAUCCCUCGCUGCAAAUUUUACCAACUGCCAUGAUAAACCAGGUUCAUCAGCUUCCCAAAUCUUGUCGAUGGUGCUGUGCCUGGAAGCUUCAGGAGUGAGGGUGCAAGUGGUCGAUUUCAAUGGCUGUGAUGCUAUCUCCAGUUCAAAGG
Stegostoma tigrinum is the source of this 757-nucleotide long non-coding RNA. RefSeq lists it as uncharacterized. The transcript has 4 exons. NCBI's taxonomy places the organism in Eukaryota, Metazoa, Chordata, Chondrichthyes, Orectolobiformes, Stegostomatidae. The record is from RefSeq and is a predicted model, not a curated record.